UACGUAGGGGGCGAGCGUUGUCCGGAUUUACUGGGUGUAAAGGGUGCUCAGGCGGGUCUGUAAGUCAGGGGUGAAAUCCCAGAGCUUAACUCUGGAACUGCCCUUGAUACUGCAGAUCUCGAGUUUGGGAGAGGCGAGUGGAAUAUCUGGUGUAGCAGUGAAAUGCGUAGAUAUCAGAUAGAACACCAAUGGCGAAGGCAGCUCGCUGGCCCAAUACUGACGCUAAAGCACGAAAGCGUGGGGAGCAAACAGG
Molecule: ribosomal RNA, 253 nt
Filed under: uncultured bacterium
Lineage: Bacteria
Description: partial 16S ribosomal RNA
Rfam family: Bacterial small subunit ribosomal RNA
Source: RNAcentral